RNAcentral lists this ribosomal RNA (44 nucleotides) under Eutreptiella gymnastica. Its description in RNAcentral is "partial Eukaryotic large subunit ribosomal RNA". The record is from RNAcentral. Lineage: Eukaryota; Euglenozoa; Euglenophyceae; Eutreptiales; Eutreptiaceae.
GUUGGAAUCCGCUUUGGACUGUGUAACAACCCACCUGCCGAUUU